CUCUUCGUUGCAAUGCUCUAGAAGCCAACCCGGAGACGAGAAAAGGAAAAUGAAAAAAAUGGGGCUGCGUCAAUUCCGUCUUAAAAUGAAUCUGAACCUAUUACAGACAGAGCGUCGUGUCGCUUAAUCUCCAUUUGACAAUGGCAGCCAAAUUCUUGCUCUACGACAGAAAGUAAUUAACGCUUGGAGUAUUGAGGCGCCUUGCGGGCCUUCCUGAGCCCAUAUUUCUUCCGCUCCACAACUCGUGAAUCCCGAGUCAACAAGCCCUGUUUCUUCAACGGGUCUCGGUUCGCUGCAUUGGCCACAAUCAAUGCCCUCGCCACGCCCAACAAGAUUGCCUGCGCUUGAGCUGAUAAGCCCCCGCCCUCGACUCUCACGAUGAUGUCGUACUUAGUCUCGUAGCCUAAGCUUGCGAGUGGGUACUUCACAGAUUGCAGCCACAGCGGGUUCCCCUGAAGAUAAUCCUGCACAAUGCGAGAUGGAAGCACAGCCAAUGCUUCAAGUUCUGUAACCUAAAUGUAAUUCGAUGAGUUGAAGCUGCUCUUCGAAGGGCAUCCUUACAGAUGCUAUGCUUCGUGUUUUCGCUAUAUCAUAAAAAAAUACCCCAGAAUUCACGAUGAUAGCAAGGCUUAAGAUGCUGAAAACAGAGGAUAAGAGUCUGAAGAUGAAAGUCUGCGACAUUGACCUGUACACUAAAACAUUGCCUCAAAACACCCACACGGAGGAUUUGAGGAAUUUUGACAAUUCAAGGAUGUGGGUAGUGUGGCCAACACGAUUUUGAGCUACAAACCUGAGCAGUGCGGUUGUUGAUAACAAUCUUUCCAGUACCCUCGACAAGGACAACUCGAGCCACGGCGGUCUUGCGCCUGCCUGUACCAUUCAAGCGCGCAGCGGCGAAACCCCCCGGCAGCUGCUGCUUCACCCACGCCUCCAGGGUACGCCUCUCCUCCAUCUCGGGACUGAGAGCCUCGGCAGUCUCAGCCAUGACAGCGCGAACAACCGGCGAGGCCACGACGGUCCUCCUCCCCAUCGCCACGCACGACUUCAACGCAUUGCAUCGCAAGCCAAGACUGGCAGACGACGAGAGCGAGGCCAAUUUCUUGCUGGGCUCUUGCAAGGAGAGCGAGGCGAAGGAGGUCGACAACCCCAGCGCUUGAGUCGCUGCUGCCAUGGCCGCCAUACUAACCAAUUUCCGAUUCC
This 1200-nucleotide long non-coding RNA is filed under the name Physcomitrium patens. Its description in RNAcentral is "long non-coding RNA (PPAT_LNC007365)". The record is from RNAcentral. Lineage: Eukaryota; Viridiplantae; Streptophyta; Bryopsida; Funariales; Funariaceae.